RNAcentral lists this ribosomal RNA (373 nucleotides) under uncultured organism. Its description in RNAcentral is "partial 16S ribosomal RNA". It matches the Rfam family "Bacterial small subunit ribosomal RNA", at positions 527 to 896 of the family's 1533-position model. The record is from RNAcentral.
GUAGGUGGCAAGCGUUGUCCGGAAUUAUUGGGCGUAAAGCGCGCGCAGGUGGUUCUUUAAGUCUGAUGUGAAAGCCCCCGGGCUCAACCGGGGAGGGUCAUUGGAAACUGGGGAACUUGAGUGCAGGAGAGGAAAGUGGAAUUCCACGUGUAGCGGUGAAAUGCGUAGAUAUGUGGAGGAACACCAGUGGCGAAGGCGACUUUCUGGCCUGUAACUGACACUGAGGCGCGAAAGCGUGGGGAGCAACCAGGAUUAGAUACCCUGGUAGUCCACGCCGUAAACGAUGAGUGCUAAGUGUUGGGGGGUUUCCGCCCCUCAGUGCUGCAGCUAACGCAUUAAGCACUCCGCCUGGGGAGUACGGUCGCAAAGACUG